Molecule: transfer RNA, 66 nt
Filed under: Plerotes anchietae (Anchieta's broad-faced fruit bat)
Lineage: Eukaryota; Metazoa; Chordata; Mammalia; Chiroptera; Pteropodidae
Description: tRNA-Pro
Source: RNAcentral
CAAGGAAUAGUUUAACUAGAAUGUCAGCUUUGGGUGUUGAUGGUGGGGUUAUGGCCUCUUCCUUGA